RNAcentral lists this small RNA (120 nucleotides) under Arabidopsis thaliana (thale cress). RNAcentral describes it as "ATSL287890". The record is from RNAcentral. Lineage: Eukaryota; Viridiplantae; Streptophyta; Magnoliopsida; Brassicales; Brassicaceae.
UCGACUAACUGAGAGUUCUUUUGAGCAGGGGAGACUUUCCACAUCUUACAAGUCAAAACAGUUGGGGAACCAAAAACACUCCUGGAAAAGUUAAUGCAGGAACUUCACUGAAUCGACAGA